AGGGGCCACGAGCCAAGGAAAGGGCGAGGGACGGAUCUUCUCCACCCACCGCCAGCCCUGCUGCCCCCGACUUCAGCCCCUGAGACUGGCCUUACACCUGGAGCCUUCGAGACCUUGAGAGAAUAAACGUGUGCUGUUGCAAACCACCAGGUUUGUGGGUAAUUGGUUACAGCUGCAACAGGAGGCUAAUAAACCCAGAUUCAUUUAUUUUUAACAUGUUGUCCUUUGCUUUUCUGUUCUUUCUCUUCUGUGUAUAUAUGCUUUGUUAUUGGUGGUGCCGUUAUUAUUACUGAACAGCUUUUGAGAGUCAUGACCCGGCACGUUUUCCCUCAUAAAAGGGGAAAUGACAGGAAAUUUAAUCCAGGGCUGCUCUGCGAAAACUCGCCUUGUCAACCAUCACUGCCCCUGCUUUUCUUACUGCUGUGGCCAGUGGAGACGUUGUCCCGCCGUGCAAACCUGUGCUUCCCGAGGUUCUUCUAGAGGAUACUCUCUGCAUCUUCUUGUGGACUCUGCAUGAACACACACUCCCUGUCGGCCUGCAUUAGCAGAGGCUGUACCUCCCUUUGGCAUCUAGAUUUCUGGGCAAAGGAGACAGGGGUUUUCCUUAGGAGUGCAAAGACCUCUGGGAGGGAAGGAACUGAGUGCCUGCAACAGCCCCUUUCAAAGUGGGUGACACUGGAGAGACACCUGAGUGCCCCCGGAGGGAGAGGAGAUACUGAGCUGGCAUGACUGUAUAAAAUUCUCAGCAACCAUUUUGUCUAGAGCUGGAGCGACCUACAUACCCAAGCAUCUGGACCUGGACUGGUGCUUUGGGAGCAACGAGGGGGUGCCUGAGUCUGAUGUAAGUGAUGCACACAAUCCUGGGUCUGCCUGCAGGUUCACUGGCUGUGAAGGGAGACAAAGCUGGAUGUGGUGCUUCUAAGCACAUGGGGAUGCUUGAGAGCUUCCCUGGGAAGUGUCAGCACUGCAGAGUAUAGGUACCCCUGUCUGGUAAAAGUAGACCACACUGGAGAGCAGUGGUUAUUGAUUUUAGCAUCUGCCUUCCUCCGUAGAGUGAAAAUAUCUUGAGGGCAGUGCCAUGGUGCCUUAUCUGGGGCAUCUCCUAGACCUAGCAUUGCCUGGAUUGAUGCUUCGUUUACUGAAUUAAUGAAAUGACACCAAAUUAAGAACGUCCAUUCAAAUAUCAACUUCUCCAUAGAACUUCACAACUAACCUCAUUCUCUCCAUUCAGUUCAGUAAAUAUGCAAGAACUCUAUUAACUAUGCAU
This 1267-nucleotide long non-coding RNA is filed under the name Canis lupus familiaris (dog). RNAcentral describes it as "lncRNA (ENSCAFG00040025206.1)". The record is from RNAcentral. Lineage: Eukaryota; Metazoa; Chordata; Mammalia; Carnivora; Canidae.